AGAGUUUGAUCCUGGCUCAGAAUAAACGCUGGCGGCGUGCCUAACACAUGCAAGUCGAGCGAGAAAGCUUCUUCGGAAGUUAGUAAAGCGGCGAACGGGUGAGUAACGCGUAGGAAUCUACCUUUUAGUGAAGAAUACCCUCGAGAAAUCGAGGUUAAUACUGCAUACGUCCCUACGGGGAGAAAGGCGGCCUCUUUGCU
Molecule: ribosomal RNA, 200 nt
Filed under: uncultured bacterium
Lineage: Bacteria
Description: partial 16S ribosomal RNA
Rfam family: Bacterial small subunit ribosomal RNA
Source: RNAcentral